GAGUUCCCGUACGAUCACCGAGUUAACCAACGCCGAGCCUGGUCAGUACUUAGAUGGGUAACCGCUUGGGAAUACCAGGUGCUU
Acanthosepion pharaonis is the source of this 84-nucleotide non-coding RNA. The record is from the annotation of a GenBank genome assembly. Lineage: Eukaryota; Metazoa; Mollusca; Cephalopoda; Sepiida; Sepiidae.